Long non-coding RNA from Mauremys reevesii (Reeves's turtle), 265 nucleotides. RefSeq lists it as uncharacterized. The record is from RefSeq and is a predicted model, not a curated record. The transcript has 3 exons. Lineage: Eukaryota; Metazoa; Chordata; Testudines; Geoemydidae.
GAAAGGACAGCUCCUUCUACAGAACUAUCCCCACUUACCUAGUACCUCACAGAAGACUGUCCACAGGGUCAGGAUUGAUGUGCUGUGGACAGGAAGUAAUUUAAACGAUAUAGCUCAGAAUGUGCUUACUGCUAUUGAAUGGACAAGAAAGAAAAGGGGUUAUGGUGGCUUUGAGGGCCCCCACUGAGCAAGAGAUAAUAAAUUCUUCCAGGCACAGACUGUCUGCUACUGUGUGUGUGUAGAGCACCCAGCUGAGCCCCCCAAA